RNAcentral lists this ribosomal RNA (879 nucleotides) under Patella caerulea. RNAcentral's name for it is "SSU rRNA". It matches the Rfam family "Eukaryotic small subunit ribosomal RNA", at positions 294 to 1162 of the family's 1831-position model. The record is from RNAcentral. Lineage: Eukaryota; Metazoa; Mollusca; Gastropoda; Patellidae.
UUCUAUCAAGUGUCUGCCCUAUCAAAUGACGAUGGUACGUGAUCUGCCUACCAUGUUGGCAACGGGUAGCGGGGAAUCAGGGUUCGAUUCCGGAGAGGGAGCAUGAGAAACGGCUACCACAUCCAAGGAAGGCAGCAGGCGCGCAACUUACCCACUCCUGGCACGGGGAGGUAGUGACGAAAAAUAACAAUACGGAACUCUUUUGAGGCUCCGUAAUUGGAAUGAGUACACUUUAAACCCUUUAACGAGGAUCUAUUGGAGGGCAAGUCUGGUGCCAGCAGCCGCGGUAAUUCCAGCUCCAAUAGCGUAUACUAAAGUUGUUGCGAUUAAAAAGCUCGUAGUUGGAUCUCAGGCAUGGGCGCGCGGUCCGCCUCGCGGCGGUCACUGCGUGGAAAGGUAACCCAUCCUACGCUUCCCGGUUGUUCAGCCCAUGGUGCUCUUGACUGAGCGUUUUGGGUGGCCGGAACGUUUACUUUGAAGAAAUUAGAGUGUUCAAAGCAGGCACGUCGCCUGAAUAAUGGUGCAUGGAAUAAUGGAAUAGGACCUCGGUUCUAUUUUGCUGGUUUUCGGAACACGAGGUAAUGAUUAAGAGGGACAGACGGGGGCAUCCGUAUUGCGGUGUUAGAGGUGAAAUUCUUGGAUCAUCGCAAGACGAACUACUGCGAAAGCAUUUGCCAAGAAUGUUUUCAUUAGCCAAGAACGAAAGUCAGAGGUUCGAAGACGAUCAGAUACCGUCGUAGUUCUGACCAUAAACGAUGCCAACUAGCGAUCCGCUGGUGUUGCUUCAUCGACUCUGCGGGCAGCUUCCGGGAAACCAAAGUGUUUGGGUUCCGGGGGAAGUAUGGUUGCAAAGCUGAAACUUAAAGGAAUUGACGGAAG